RNAcentral lists this long non-coding RNA (305 nucleotides) under Linum usitatissimum (flax). RNAcentral's name for it is "long non-coding RNA (LUSI_LNC000964)". The record is from RNAcentral. Lineage: Eukaryota; Viridiplantae; Streptophyta; Magnoliopsida; Malpighiales; Linaceae.
ACUGUCCUCAGCUGAACAAUUUGGUCCAUCACCUUAAAACGAAAACUGUCAAGGAACUAGCCCUCUUCCUUCCCUUAGGUGAACUCGUUGAAUUACUACCUUCCUCUGUUUUUGCUCUUGAUCUGAACCGUCUGAAAGUCACAGGUUUCACGGUUGUAGAACCACCAUGGUUUAUGGGAUUUGGGAACCUUACCUUUCUAGAAUUGAAAGAGCUAAUUCUACCCGUUAAUUUCCUUGAGACUUUUCUUCCAAAGUGUCCUCUGCUUGAAGAGUUGAGAGUUGUGGAAUGCAAUACAGUAUCUCCU